CGGGUAAUAGAGGAGUCUGGUUUAUCUCGCUGCAUUUGGGAUGCAGAGCACGCAGGUUCGAAUCCUGCUUAUCCGA
Molecule: transfer RNA, 76 nt
Filed under: Cellulophaga phage phi17:2
Lineage: Duplodnaviria; Heunggongvirae; Uroviricota; Caudoviricetes
Also listed under: 4 other names
Rfam family: tRNA
About the family: Transfer RNA (tRNA) molecules are approximately 80 nucleotides in length. Their secondary structure includes four short double-helical elements and three loops (D, anti-codon, and T loops). Further hydrogen bonds mediate the characteristic L-shaped molecular structure. tRNAs have two regions of fundamental functional importance: the anti-codon, which is responsible for specific mRNA codon recognition, and the 3' end, to which the tRNAs corresponding amino acid is attached (by aminoacyl-tRNA synthetases). tRNAs cope with the degeneracy of the genetic code in two manners: having more than one tRNA (with a specific anti-codon) for a particular amino acid; and 'wobble' base-pairing, i.e. permitting non-standard base-pairing at the 3rd anti-codon position.
Source: Rfam by way of RNAcentral